AUACGUAGGUGGCAAGCGUUGUCCGGAUUUAUUGGGCGUAAAGCGAGCGCAGGCGGUUAUCUAAGUCUGAUGUGAAAGCCUUCGGCUUAACCGAAGAAGUGCAUCGGAAACUGGGUAACUUGAGUGCAGAAGAGGACAGUGGAACUCCAUGUGUAGCGGUGGAAUGCGUAGAUAUAUGGAAGAACACCAGUGGCGAAGGCGGCUGUCUAGUCUGUAACUGACGCUGAGGCUCGAAAGCAUGGGUAGCGAACAGGAUUAGAUACCCUGGUAGUCCAUGCCGUAAACGAUGAGUGCUAAGUGUUGGAGAGUUUCCGCCCUUCAGUGAUGCAGCUAACGCAUUAAGCACUCCGCCUGGGGAGUACGACCGCAAGGUUGAA
RNAcentral lists this ribosomal RNA (377 nucleotides) under uncultured bacterium. Its description in RNAcentral is "bacterial SSU rRNA". It matches the Rfam family "Bacterial small subunit ribosomal RNA", at positions 523 to 898 of the family's 1533-position model. The record is from RNAcentral.